GAUAAACGCUGGCGGCGUGCUUUAUGCAUGCAAGUCGAACGGUUCUGAUUUAUCAGGAUAGUGGCAAACGGGUGAGUAACACGUAAGUAACCUGCCCCUAAGUACGGAAUAACUCCGGGAAACCGGGGACAAUACCGUAUGUGGUGCUGGAGGUAGUGCUCCAUCACCAAAGCUUUCGGGCGCUUGGGGAGGGGCUUGCGUCCUAUUAGCUAGUUGGUAGGGUAACGGCCUACCAAGGCGAUGAUGGGUAGCUGGUUUGAGAGGACGGACAGCCACACUGGGACUGAGACACGGCCCAGACUCCUACGGAGGCAG
RNAcentral lists this ribosomal RNA (315 nucleotides) under uncultured Chloroflexota bacterium. RNAcentral's name for it is "bacterial SSU rRNA". It matches the Rfam family "Bacterial small subunit ribosomal RNA", at positions 28 to 351 of the family's 1533-position model. The record is from RNAcentral. Lineage: Bacteria; Bacillati; Chloroflexota.